CUUGCUUUCUUUGUUGGCGACCGGCGCACGGGUGAGUAACACGUAUCCAACCUGCCCUUUACUCGGGGAUAGCCUUUCGAAAGAAAGAUUAAUACCCGAUAGCAUAAUGAUUCCGCAUGGUUUCAUUAUUAAAGGAUUCCGGUAAAGGAUGGGGAUGCGUUCCAUUAGGUUGUUGGUGGGGUAACGGCCCACCAAGCCUUCGAUGGAUAGGGGUUCUGAGAGGAAGGUCCCCCACAUUGGAACUGAGACACGGUCCAA
Molecule: ribosomal RNA, 258 nt
Filed under: uncultured bacterium
Lineage: Bacteria
Description: partial 16S ribosomal RNA
Rfam family: Bacterial small subunit ribosomal RNA
Source: RNAcentral